Molecule: ribosomal RNA, 253 nt
Filed under: uncultured bacterium
Lineage: Bacteria
Description: partial 16S ribosomal RNA
Rfam family: Bacterial small subunit ribosomal RNA
Source: RNAcentral
UACAGAGGUCUCAAGCGUUGUUCGGAUUCAUUGGGCGUAAAGGGUGCGUAGGUGGCGCCGUAAGUCGGGUGUGAAAUUUCGGAGCUUAACUCCGAAACUGCAUUCGAUACUGCGGUGCUUGAGGACUGGAGAGGAGACUGGAAUUCAUGGUGUAGCAGUGAAAUGCGUAGAGAUCAUGAGGAAGACCAGUGGCGAAGGCGGUUCUCUGGGACGGUACUGACGCUGAGACGCGAAAGCGUGGGGAGCGAACAGG